CAAACAGUAAUUCAAAGGGGUUAUUAAGGAAAAACUAGCAAAUUUAUAAAAAAGGAGGGCACAAGUCCAAAAGCCACAAUUUACCGAAAGGUGAUCAAGUUUCAUUAGAUUUAUUUAAUGUUGACAAAGAAUGUAGGCGAUCCUAAGGGAAACCUUUAUAUUUAAACUUCCCGAAGUAAAACAUUUCAUUAGGGAAAGGAAAGGAAAUCAACCGAGACUCCGAAAGUAAUGGCGAGUGAAAUCGGACUAGCCUUUAUUUAAAAAUAAAUUUAACAAAAAUACACACCAGAAACCAAAGAAGGUAAAACAGUCCUGUAUGUUAAAUCUUUUUAAAACUAAUGUUUAAAUAAGUAUUAUUAAAUUAAAAUUUAUUUAAAUAAUGAGUACGACGAGAGCGAACUUGUCGGAAUAUAGGGGAACCAUCCUCUAAGGCUAAGUAUUUAUAAAUUUAGCGAUAGUGAAAAGUACCGUGAGGGAAAGUUUGAAAUAGUUAUGUAAUUUUAGACAUAAAUGAAAUAGUUGAAUUAGUAACUCUAUAAGCAGUCGAAAUUUAUAAUUAUAAAUGACGGCGUACCUUUUGCAUAAUGGGUCAGCAAGUUAAUAGGAGUAGCAAGGUUAAAAGCCUUAGUGAAAGCGACCACACUAACUAGCUAAAAGUAUUCUUAAUUUCAUAGAUAUUAAGAAUAGGAUAUCCUUCAUAGUCAUAAGGCUAAGAAGUUAAAUAUUUUCUAGGAAUAUAGUGAUGGGUAAGUUACUUCUAUUAGACCCGAAGCUAGGUGAUCUUCCUAAGACCAGAUUAUAAUGGAUCGAACGGGUGAAUGUAGCAAAAUUCUCCGAAGAGUUUUAGGAAGCGGUGAAAUGCCAAUCUGACCUAGUGAUAGCUGGUUUUCUACGAAACAUAUGUAAGUAUGACAUCUAAACAAAAUUUAUGGUGGUACAGCACUGAGUUCCCAACUAUUUCUUUUUUUUAAAGAAAAGUUUAGGUUGCGGGGACGUCGAAAAUCUUACCAAUGGAAGAGAAUCUCGGAAUGACAUAAAUUGAUGAUAGAUAUUCAGACUGCUCAUGCGAAGUUGGGUAGUCAAGACGGAAACAGCCGAGAACACGAAACAAGGUCCCAAAUGAUUUUUAAGUGAAAUGAAGGAAGUAAUAUAUUGAAUGCAGCUGUAAAGUGAGCCUGGUAGUCGCUAUCUUUUAAUAAACGUAAUGUAACAACGUAGCAGCCUUAAACAAUAGAAUAUUACACCAAAAAUUUAACGGGUCUCAAAAAAUCAACCGAUAUCGUGUUUAUUUUGAAUAAUAAAAAUUAAUAUUCAAUAUACAGGUAGUAGAACAUUCAGUAUACUGAUGAUAAAACAGUGUUUCAUUGUUUUUAGGUCACUGAAGAGAGAAUGCUGACAUGAGUAACGUAAAAAGAAGUUAUAAUACUUCUCGCCGAAUACGAAAGGGUUGUAAGGAAAGGUUAAACCACCUUAUGUUAAUGCGGCCUCUAAGGAACAAAACCAAAGUUUUGUCUGAUGAGUAUGAAUUAGAAAGUCCAUUUUUAAAAAUAAAAAUUUAAUAAAGGGACCAGGAAAAGAAUAUAUUCUUAACUACCGUACCCUAAACCGACACAGGUUCGUAAGUAGAGUAUACUAAGGCGUAGAGCUAAAAGUUGUUAAGGAACUCGGCAAGUUCUCCUCAUAAGUUUGACGAUAAGAGGAACCCGAUAAGGGUGGCACAAAAUCGGAGGCCCCGACUGUUUACUAAAAACACAAUUCAGAGCAAUGAUGAAAAAUCAUAGUAUUCUGGAUGAAAUUUGCCCAAUGCCAUUAACAUAAAAGAGGUUAUGGGUAACUGUAACUGAUUGAAAGUCUGGUUAAUAGCGGUCUUAACUAUGAGGAUCCAAAGGUAGCAAAAUAAAUUGGCCAUUAAAUGUGGUCUGGUAUCAAUAGUGUAACGAUGGUCUCACUGUCUCUACAACUUGCUCAGUGAAAUUGAAUUACCCGUGCAGAUGCGGGUUGCCUCCAGGUGGACGGGAAGACCCUAUGCAGCUUUACUGUAGUUAGCUAUCAUAUUGAUCUACAACAACCUUAGUUAAUAGUAAUUAGGGAUGUCGAAUUGACGAAAGAUGGAAUACCUUCUGACUUUGGUUGGGUUAAUAUUUACCUUUUUAAGUAAAAUAUUAUAUAUGACUCAAAAUUUUCUUUUGUUUAUUCUAUUCAUAUUCUGUUAUAUAGUGUAAUAUGGUAUAAAGCUUAUAAGGGAUAGGUGGCUAAUUGGCAGUUUGACUGGGGCGGUCGUCUUUGAUAAAGUAGCAAAGUACAUCCAAAGAUAUUUAUUUAUUAGAAACAAUCUUUUUUUAAAAAGAUACUUACUAAAAAUUCAUAGUAUCUAUAUAAACUAUGAAGAAUAUAAUUUAUUAUAUUUUUAUUAACUUAAGGUAUAGCUAGAAAAUUGAAUGGAAAUCAAUCAACCAGUGUGAAAGGUUGUAAUAGGCGUAAUGGCGGAAAGCAUGCCUAACUGAAAGACUUAGAAGUCGAACAGAUACGUAAGUAGGGCAUAGUGACCCUUCGCUAUAUUAUGGAAUAGACGGGGAUCAAUCGAUAAAAGUUACGCUAGGGAUAACAGGCUGAUAGCUGGUGAGAGUACACAUUGUCCCGGCUGUUUGGCACCUUGGAUAUAUUAUAUUAAAUUUAUAAAUACCACAUAAAAUUAUCAGUAUCUCAUUAUUUUGUUUGCUUCGUGCAAUAGAUAGUUCUUAAAAUUAUAAGAGCCCAAUUAUUUUAAUAAUUAAUCUAAAAUGAAUAAACCUGUAAUUUAAAUGUUAGUAGGAAAUCUUCUAGGAGAUGCCUCUAUCAAAAAAACAGUAUCUGGUAAAGCUUAUAUAACAUUUGAACAGUCUAUAAAAAAAUCUGAUUAUUUAAAUCACUUGUAUGAGCUAGUAAAAAGUAGUGGUAUACCUUUAAAAAAAGAAUCUCCUACUGUUUACUCUAGAGACGAUGAUAGAUUUGGAACUACAAAUAAAUCAUUAUAUUUUAGAACUGAGGCAGUAGAAGAAUUAAAACCUUUAGCCGAUUUAUUCUUGGAUGAAUCUGGGAAAAAAAUAAUACCUAGAAAUAUUUCUGAGUAUUUAACAGAAAAAGGCUUAGCUCAUUGGAUCAUGGAUGAUGGCCAAAGAGUAAAAAAGAGGAGGUGUAACUUUAUGUACCGAUAGUUUUAACUCGGAAGAAGUAAGCAUACUUAGAGAUGCUUUAAAAAUUAAUUUUAAUUUUAAUACUUCUAUUCAUAAUAAAACAUCUAGCAAUGGAUCGGUUUAUGAAAGAAUAUAUAUAAAGAAAGAAUCUUUAGAUUCAAUUAUACCAACAUUGAAUACGCAUAUGCAUGAUUCAAUGCUUUAUAAAAUAAACUUAGAUAGAGUUUUUAGACAAGAUACUGAAGGCUUUAUAAGUGAUUCAGAUGUCAUAACUGAUAUAGAUAUGUUUGACGUUUAAAUUUAUAAUCUUAAUAAGCAAAUAUACAUCGGGGACUAUAAAUAGAAAUGUUUAUAUAAAAAUUGGCUAUAUGCUGGAACCCCCUAAAGCUUUAAGUACUCAUUUAUUUUUAUAAAUUGUAAUAAUCUUAAAGAUUGGGCAAUCAGCAGGGAAGUUACCUUUUUAGGUUAUAGCAACUGUAAAAUUUGUAACCCCUCAACGACUACACGCCAACACCCAGAGCUAACAUAAAGGUAUUCUUAUGCUGGGUGAAGAUAUAGUCUAAUCUUAACCGAAAGAUUAAGCCCAUCCUCAUAUGAGGUGGGAGUAUAUAUUUUAUAUACUAAUAUUGCGAUGUCGACUCAACCUAUCCUCCGGGGGUAGAAGCUUGGAAGGGUUCGGCUGUUCGCCGAUUAAAAGGUUACGCGAGUUGGGUUUAAUACGACGUGAGUCAGUAUGGUCCCUAUCUUCUGGAGGGAUAAAUAGUAAAAAGGGGCAGACCUUCUAGUACGAAAGGAUCAAUAGGCUGUGUUUCUCUAGUGUACCAAUUGUAAUUCUCUAUUCUAAAAAUUUUUAAAGGAUUAAAGAAAGAUUAAAGCAUAGUUGGGUAGCCACAAACAUGAUAGAUAAGCGCUGAAUGAAUAUUAAGCAGGAAGCUAUCCCCUAGAUACUAUCUUAUUGAUUAUCUUUUUAAUUGAUAUUUUAUUAGUUUUCUUUUUAAUCAAUGUGAAUAAGAAAUAGAACAUUUCUAAAUAGGAUGCAAAUGAAAGUGCUGUAA
Molecule: ribosomal RNA, 4228 nt
Filed under: Ganoderma lingzhi
Lineage: Eukaryota; Fungi; Basidiomycota; Agaricomycetes; Polyporales; Polyporaceae
Description: large subunit ribosomal RNA
Rfam family: Bacterial large subunit ribosomal RNA (bases 3-2739)
Source: RNAcentral